This is a long non-coding RNA of Fukomys damarensis (Damara mole-rat), 370 nucleotides long. RefSeq lists it as uncharacterized. Lineage: Eukaryota; Metazoa; Chordata; Mammalia; Rodentia; Bathyergidae. The record is from RefSeq and is a predicted model, not a curated record. The transcript is spliced from 3 exons.
GAAAAUGUUUUAUUUUUUUCAUGAAAUAAAAAGAGAAAAGCCAGUAAGGCAUUGUUCUUACUGAGGCUAAUGUAGCUGCUCACCUCACACCGUGGAAUCCACAAUUUGUCUGCAGCAUUGACAAAUAUUUUAUUCUGGAUUAGCAGCAUUUUUUUGGAGAUAACAACCAGCCACAUGAUAGCAAGUCAACAACACUGAGCACCUUCCACCUGGAAGAUCAUUUCCAGCAAUGGUUCACACCAUAUGAACAUAUUACCUCCAGUUGUUUCUAUAUUGGGCUUCAGGAUCCUCUUCCUCACACUUACUGCAAUGCAUAGAGAACGAUGAGGAAACAGCCACAAAGGAGUUGAGGAGGUGGAUCAAGAUUGCA